AACGCGAAGAACCUUACCUAGGUUUGACAUAUGUGAGAAGCCUCUAGAGAUAGAGGUCUCUUUGGACACUCAUAUACAGGUGGUGCAUGGCUGUCGUCAGCUCGUGUCGUGAGAUGUUGGGUUAAGUCCCGCAACGAGCGCAACCCUCGUCUUAUGUUGCCAGCACGUAAUGGUGGGGACUCAUAAGAGACUGCCGGGGUCAACUCGGAGGAAGGUGGGGAUGACGUCAAGUCAUCAUGCCCCUUAUGCCUAGGGCUUCACGCAUGCUACAAUGGCCGGUACAAAGGGCUGCGAUACCGCGAGGUGGAGCGAAUCCCAAAAAGCCGGUCUCAGUUCGGAUUGGGGUCUGCAACUCGACCCCAUGAAGUCGGAGUCGCUAGUAAUCGCAGAUCAACAACGCUGCGGUGAAUACGUUCCCGGGUCUUGUACACACCG
Molecule: ribosomal RNA, 435 nt
Filed under: uncultured bacterium
Lineage: Bacteria
Description: bacterial SSU rRNA
Rfam family: Bacterial small subunit ribosomal RNA
Source: RNAcentral